GCAGUCGUGGCCUACUGGUUAGGGCUUUGGGCUUGGAACCAGAGGUUGCCGGUUCGAUCCCCGACCAGUGGCA
RNAcentral lists this transfer RNA (73 nucleotides) under Alosa alosa (allis shad). RNAcentral's name for it is "tRNA-OTHER". It matches the Rfam family "tRNA". From Rfam's summary of the family: Transfer RNA (tRNA) molecules are approximately 80 nucleotides in length. Their secondary structure includes four short double-helical elements and three loops (D, anti-codon, and T loops). Lineage: Eukaryota; Metazoa; Chordata; Actinopteri; Clupeiformes; Clupeidae. The record is from RNAcentral.